UACGUAGGGGGCUAGCGUUGUCCGGAAUCAUUGGGCGUAAAGAGCGUGUAGGCGGUCCGGUAAGUCCGCUGUGAAAGUCGGGGGCUCAACCCUCGAAUGCCGGUGGAUACUGUCGGGCUAGAGUGCGGAAGAGGCGAGUGGAAUUCCUGGUGUAGCGGUGAAAUGCGCAGAUAUCAGGAAGAACACCCGUGGCGAAAGCGGCUCUCUGGGACAGUACUGACGCUGAGACGCGAAAGCGUGGGGAGCGAACAGG
Molecule: ribosomal RNA, 253 nt
Filed under: uncultured bacterium
Lineage: Bacteria
Description: partial 16S ribosomal RNA
Rfam family: Bacterial small subunit ribosomal RNA
Source: RNAcentral